AUCAACGCUAAUCGGAUCAGGGUCAGUCGGGUCCUAAGGCUCAGCCGAACGGCGAUGCCGAUGGCAGAAACGGUUAAUAUUCCGUUACUACCUUCAGGAGUGACGUGGAGACGCAGUAGUGACAGUGCCGCCAUCUGACGGAAUAGAUGGUUGAAGGGUGUAGGAGUCGAUCAUGGCAGGCAAAUCCACCAUGAGAUCCGAACCUGACAGUAUGCCGCGUCCUUCGGGACAAGGCAAUAGUGCGCGUAAGCAUGCUGCCGAGAAAAUCCGCUAAACUUAAUCCUGCAGGUACCCGUACCGCAAACGGACACACGUAGUCGGGAUGAAUAUUCUAAGGCGCUUGAGUGAUUCACGGUUAAGGAACUAGGCAAACUGACCCUGUAACUUCGGGAUAAAGGGUCCCUACCCUUUUAUGGGAGGGCGCAGAGAAUCGGUCCAGGCAACUGUUUAACAAAAACACAGGGCUGUGCCAAAUCGAAAGAUCCAGUAUACAGCCUGACACCUGCCCGGUGCUGGAAGGUUAAGAGGAGAUGUCAUCGAUAAGAGAAGCGUUGAAUUGAAGCCCCAGUAAACGGCGGCCGUAACUAUAACGGUCCUAAGGUAGCGAAAUUCCUUGUCGGGUAAGUUCCGACCUGCACGAAUGGUGUAAUGAUCUGGACACUGUCUCAACCGUGAGCUCAGUGAAAUUGUAGUAUCGGUGAAGAUGCCGAUUACCCGCGAUGGGACGAAAAGACCCCGUGAACCUUUACUAUAGCUUAUCAUUGAAUUUGGGCACGUGAUGUGUAGGAUAGGUCGGAGGCUUUGAAGCAGGUACGCCAGUAUUUGUGGAGCCGCUGUUGAAAUACGACCCUUUAUUUGUUUGGAUUCUAACCCGUGGAUACGGGGACAUUGAUUGGUGGGUAGUUUGACUGGGGUGGUCGCCUCCAAAAGCGUAACGGAGGCUUCUAAAGGUGCCCUCCGGCCGAUUGGUAACCGGCCUUAGAGUGUAAUGGCAUAAGGGCGCUUGACUGGGAGACUAACAAGUCGAUCAGGUAGGAAACUAGAGCAUAGUGAUCCGGUGUUUCCGUAUGGAAGGGACAUCGCUCAAAGGAUAAAAGGUACUCCGGGGAUAACAGGCUGAUCCCUCCCAAGAGCUCAUAUCGACGGAGUGGUUUGGCACCUCGAUGUCGGCUCGUCACAUCCUGGGGCUGGAGAAGGUCCCAAG
RNAcentral lists this ribosomal RNA (1204 nucleotides) under mouse gut metagenome. Its description in RNAcentral is "bacterial LSU rRNA". It matches the Rfam family "Bacterial large subunit ribosomal RNA", at positions 1358 to 2569 of the family's 2925-position model. The record is from RNAcentral.